UAAUUGAAGAGUUUGAUCAUGGCUCAGAUUGAACGCUGGCGGCAGGCUUAACACAUGCAAGUCGAGCGGUAGCACAGGGGAGCUUGCUCCCUGGGUGACGAGCGGCGGACGGGUGAGUAAUGUCUGGGAAACUGCCUGAUGGAGGGGGAUAACUACUGGAAACGGUAGCUAAUACCGCAUAACGUCGCAAGACCAAAGAGGGGG
Molecule: ribosomal RNA, 204 nt
Filed under: Serratia marcescens
Lineage: Bacteria; Pseudomonadati; Pseudomonadota; Gammaproteobacteria; Enterobacterales; Yersiniaceae
Description: partial 16S ribosomal RNA
Rfam family: Bacterial small subunit ribosomal RNA
Source: RNAcentral